GACGAACCGUGCGAACGUUAUUCGGAAUCACUGGGCUUAAAGCGCGUGUAGGCGGGCCGCCGCGUCGGCUGCUGAAAUCCCCCGGCUCAACUGGGGGGUGUCGUGCGAUACGGUCGGACUGGAGGCCAGUAGGGGGAUGCGGAAUUCCGGGUGUAGUGGUGGAAUGCGUAGAGAUCCGGAGGAACACCAGCGGCGAAGGCGGCAUCCUGGACUGGUCCUGACACUCAGGAGCGAAAGCGUGGGGAGCGAUCCGG
RNAcentral lists this ribosomal RNA (254 nucleotides) under uncultured bacterium. Its description in RNAcentral is "partial 16S ribosomal RNA". It matches the Rfam family "Bacterial small subunit ribosomal RNA", at positions 524 to 776 of the family's 1533-position model. The record is from RNAcentral.